CGACCUGUGCGGUACGAGACUACGGGCCGAACUUAAGCAUAUCAGUAAGCCCAGGAAAAGAAAUCAAAGCGAGAUUCCCCCAGUAGCGGCGAGCGAACAGGGACGUGCCAGGCCUGAAUUCCAGUUGUGGGCGUGCAUUGCAGCGGGGGCAAAGUGCCGUUGAACCGGCCGGACCAAACAGUGCAACUCUGGUUGGCCCCCUUGCACUAGCUGGCGUAGUAGUACUGCUUGAGAGUGUAGUAUGAAUACGGGUGGUAUUCCUCAUCCAAGGCCAAAUACAGGUCCAAGUCCGAUAGCGUAUCGAGUAACGUGAGUGAAAGGUGAAAAGUAGACUCAAAGGGGUUGCUUAAAAGACGUGAAACUAUUAUUUUGAAGGGUAAGCGGGGGCAGCGCAUCUGCCGAACCUCUCCUAGAGGGCCGCCGCUUUCCGCCCGUCUCGAAACACGGAUUAAGGAGUUACGUUAGACUGCGAGCCAAUGCGUGCAAACGCAAGGGCGCAGCGAAAGCGGAAAUACUCAGCCAUGUUAGGGUGCACCGGUUCACCGGGGCUCCUGUACAGAGUUGUCUGAUGUAAACCCGAAAGGUAGUGAUCUUUACACGGCGAGGAUGAAGCCAGUCGAAAGGCUGGUGGAGGUCCGCAGCAAUACUGACGUGCAAAUCGUUUGUCAGAGCUGUGUAAAGGGGCGAAAGACUCAUCGAACUUCCAAGUAGCUGGUUACGUUCGAAAUUUCUCUCAGGAUAGCAGCAGUGAUUUAGCUCCGACAGGUAGAGAUAAUGAUUGGUGGAAAGUGGCCUCCGGGUAUGCCCCAACUCUCAAACUUCGAAUAGUCGGGAUCGCGGGUCUUCCGCAAGGAGCCGCCGCGGUGGAGUAUGCACUGCUAGUGGGCCCCUCUGGGUAAGCCGGAUGGGCAAGGAGGAUUCAGCCUUAAGUGGAGUUACGGUGCGCAACAGGGGCGCAUGAGAAAAAACGACGUGUGCUGAUACAGACAGCAGGAAGGUGGCCAUAAAAGUCGGAAGCCUCUAAGGAGUGUGUUACAACUCACCUGCCGAAUCAGUACGCUCGGAAAAUGGAUCGCGCUGCAGCCUCUGACCUACACUCCACUGCACGCCGUGCCAGGUAGAACGUGGUGGUGCGGGCGUCGAAGCUUUCUCGUGAGAGGGGGCGGAGCGCGCACUAGUCCAGAUCUUAAUUGGAGUAGCCAAUAAUCUGCAUGCAGACCACUGAAGAGGAGAAGGAUUCCGCAGCCACUGAAACAGUCUGCGGGUGACUCGGACCUAAGCGCUCGGCCACGGCCAUUUAAGCGUCGAAAGGGAAGCAGGCUAAGAUCCCUGCAGGCCCGCCCACAUUCGGCAACGGACGGCGCAGUUCACGGUCUCUCGGUCGGCGCGGUCGGACCAUCGCACCGGCUUAAUGCUCCAGGGCGUGGGGAAGAGCUAAGCUCUAGAGCCACGUUUCGCAGCUAGAAUACGUCCGCGUACACGGACGCGUGCGGGGCCGAGAGACGCCUCAAAAUGGACUGCGCGACUCGGGCGGGCACCGUACUGAUAACCGCAUCAGGUCUCCUAGGCAAGAAACCUCUAGUGAGAAGAUAACACGACCAAGGGAAGUCGGCAAAUCGGCUCUGUAACCUUGGGAUAAAGAGUGGCUCUGAAUGCUCGUGCCGGCGGCGCUGCAUUGAGACCUCGGGGAAGCGUCGAAGUGGGGCAACCUGCCAGAUGUGAGCUGGGUGAUCUUUGCAGCCUCUAACGCACCAUGGGCAAUUCAGAACUGCUACUGACUAGAAGAACCCGACUGUAUAAUUAAAACAUAGCAUCUCGAUAGCCGCAGCCGGUUUUGACGAGAUGUGAAUCCUGCCCAGUGCUAUGACUGUCAACGUGACGAGAGUCAUUCAAGCUCUGGUAAACGGCGGGAGUAACUAUGACUCUUUUAAGGUAGCCAAAUGCCUCGUCCAGUAAUUUUGGACGUGCAUGAAUGGAUUAAUGAGGUUCUUACUGUCCCUGGUCGUAUCUUCGCGAAACCACAGACUCGGGAACGGGCGAGUGUAACCCUCAGCGGGGCAAGAAGACCCUGUUGAGCUUGACUCCAGCUUGGGAAUUGUAGAACGGUGAUGGUGGUAGAGCGUACAGGGGAGGGCGACCGCAGCAUGUAACACCCUGACACUACUCAUUGUUCUGCUAACCCGGUAACCGGCCCGGCUUUGGCCUGGGGCUUGUCGGGGACAUUUCUAGGUGGGGAGUUUGGCUGGGGCGGCGCGCCUGCUAAAGCGCAACGCAGGCGUCCUAAAACAAGCUCAGACAGGACGGAAACCUGUCGCAGAGCAAAAGAGCAAAAGCUUGUCUGAUUGCGUGCGUCAGUGGCGUAUGCAACCGUGAAAGCGUGGUCUAUCGAUCCUUUACGAUUCUUGGAAUGAAUCUGGAGGUGACAGAAAAGUUACCACAGGGAUAACUGGCUUGUGGCCGCCAAGCGACCAAAGCGACGUGGCUUUUUGAUUCUUCGAUGUCGGCUCUUCCUAUCAUUCUGAAGCAGCAUUCAGAAAGUGUUGGAUUGUUCACCCAUGCAAGGGAACGUGAGCUGGGUUUAGACCGUCGCGAGACAGGUUAGUUUUAUCCUACUGAGGACCGCGCACCGCUAGUAAUCUAGAUUAGUACGAGAGGAACAUUUUUAUCAAAGCACUGGUUUACAGCCUUGUUUGACAAAGCAGUUGGCUGAAGCCACCCUUUGGCAUGUUAUGGCUGACAGCCUCUAAGUGAGAAUCUCCCCUACAGGUGUGUAUGGUUUCACCUGCUUAUGAAUUAGAAGCGAAACCGCCGCUCUCCAUAGACCAUGGAGCUCGAGUGCACUGUGAGCUAUAAGUAAAUUCAAGUAGUUGAGGUGCCACUCUGUGUUAUUAUUCAUUUUGCUG
This 2903-nucleotide ribosomal RNA is filed under the name Hexamita inflata. Its description in RNAcentral is "LSU rRNA". It matches the Rfam family "Eukaryotic large subunit ribosomal RNA". The record is from RNAcentral. Lineage: Eukaryota; Fornicata; Diplomonadida; Hexamitidae.